Molecule: ribosomal RNA, 327 nt
Filed under: uncultured eukaryote
Lineage: Eukaryota
Description: partial 18S ribosomal RNA
Rfam family: Eukaryotic small subunit ribosomal RNA
Source: RNAcentral
CCCUUAGAUGUUCUGGGCCGCACGCGCGCUACACUGACGAUGUCAGAGAGUGUCUCCUUCACCGACAGGUGUGGGUAAUCUUGCAAACAUCGUCGUGCUGGGGAUAGAUCAUUGCAAUUUUUGAUCUUGAACGAGGAAUUCCUAGUAAGCGCGAGUCAUCAGCUCGCGUUGAUUACGUCCCUGCCCUUUGUACACACCGCCCGUCGCUACUACCGAUUGAAUGGUUUAGUGAGGCUUCCUGACUGGCGCCCAUACUCUGGCAACAGAGCGUGGGAUGCCGGAAAGUUGGUCAAACUUGAUCAUUUAGAGGAAGUAAAAGUCGUAACA